CUAAGGAGUUCAACUCGAACGCAAGUCGUUUUCUGAAACGAAAUUUAAAGGCAAAGUGAAAACAACUCUUGAUGAGAUGUUAACUGAUGCGUACGCGCUGAUGAUAAGCACAAGUGAUGAGUAGCACAGUUGUAAUUGUUGCUGACUGCACCUGAGCGUUCAGGUUGAGACCCGAAAGAUGGUGAACUAUGCCUGAGUAGAAUGAAGCCAGGGGAAACUCUGGUGGAGGUUCGUAGCGGUUUUGACGUGCAAAUCAAUCGUUAAACUUUGGUAUAGGGGCGAAAGACUAAUCGAACCAUCUA
RNAcentral lists this ribosomal RNA (302 nucleotides) under Echinorhynchus gadi. Its description in RNAcentral is "eukaryotic LSU rRNA". It matches the Rfam family "Eukaryotic large subunit ribosomal RNA", at positions 666 to 946 of the family's 3401-position model. Lineage: Eukaryota; Metazoa; Acanthocephala; Palaeacanthocephala; Echinorhynchida; Echinorhynchidae. The record is from RNAcentral.